Molecule: long non-coding RNA, 5545 nt
Filed under: Homo sapiens (human)
Lineage: Eukaryota; Metazoa; Chordata; Mammalia; Primates; Hominidae
Description: HSALNT0409409
Rfam family: U1 spliceosomal RNA (bases 2323-2490)
Source: RNAcentral
CAUAAUUUUAAAAAACUGUGCUUAUGCUAAAAACAGAUCCUUAGCAUUCUUCCAGUAUUCUUAGUUGUGUCAUUUGCUUUAAAAUAAGCCUAAGAAUUGCACCAGAAUUAGCUGCACAACUCCGCCAGGAAAUGCAAAGUUUUAUUGUUAUAGGAUUCUAGAAACAAUCAUAUUAUAUAUCUGGAAACUCUAUACACACAUGCCCACACACACAAAAACACACACAAUUUUCACUGAAUAGACAUCAUAAUAAGCACACUGAAAACCUAAUAAAGUUAUUAUAAAGCUGUAGAACACAAUGAUUAAAAGCAAAUGAUAAUCUUAAAUUUUAAAGAACUGAAAAUAUUAGAAUUUAAGAAUUAAAAUGUUCUAAUUGUUCUUUGGUCCACUAUCAUAGAUUUCAAGCAGAUUAAUUAAUGUAGUAGAAUGACAUUAAUAGUUCCUAUCAAUGGGAUUUAAUUUAUACCAUUUUGAAAAUAGUUUGUUGUCAUAUAUUGUUUACUGUGUGACUUCUUGUAUUUGCUCUAAAGUAAGGCUAAAUCACAUCUUAGCCUCAUCUCAUCCAAGGAAGUGAUUACAGUAAAGGUAUCCAUGUUGGGUUAAUGUGUAAAAUAGUGGUUGUGGAUUAAUGUGGGUUUGAUGUAGGAAUUUAUUAUUCUCCUUAUUAAGAUUAGCUUGAAAUGUACUGUGUGACGAAUAUUUAGUCUAUUCAAUAAGUGGUAUUCAACAGAUAUAUAUCAACAAGUGCUAUGUACCAACCACUGUUCAAGGUGGCAGAUAAAAAUAUAGGCAAAGAUAAUAUUAAUCCAAAUUGCACAUGAAAACAUUUGAUACUAUUGAUAAUGUGGCAGAUGAAAUGAUUUUCACUUUAUUAUAAUUUUUAAGAGAAUGAGAUAAUUAAAUGUGUACUGUAAGUGUUACAAGAAGCCUAUCCAUGUUAUUCUUUACUGAAAUAAUUAGAUUACAAAAAUCACCUUUUUCAAAAGAAAUUUAUAUUAUAAAUGCUCCCAUGGCAAAAACAAAAAGCCUGGUCUUUGACUUGGAAUAUAUUCUUAUUAUAUAAAGUAAGAUACAUGGCAGAGAGAAGAAAAAACAAUUUUAUUCAUCUGUCCUGGUAAUGACAAAAAAGACAGAAGUCAUAUUUUUUUUGCAAUUUUAGAUUGGACUCCUAAGAAUAGCAGACAGUUGGCAGUGUAAAUAUGUUGUAAAUUAGCUAGCCCUGAAACAAAAUGACUGAUCAUUAGCAAAUCGGGCAACUUUUAUUAUUGCCAUUGUAAGUUGCUUUACCUAUCAUGAGUGUGCUCUUAUACUAUUAGAAUUGAAAUCUAUUCUGUACUGCCAAUUUAUAUCCCUGUUUUAUAAUCUUGGGAUUCUUGCUUUACAUUCUAAAAUGUUGUCUCUGAACAAUUAGUGAAUAUCAAGUAAGUUUUUUAUUUUUUUUAAAGGUAGUCUUAAAAGUCUAAUGAUCUUUAGUGAAAAUAAUGAGGAGAUUUGGAUAUGGUGGUUCAUUUCUGUAAUCCCAAGUAGUUGGAAGGAUGAGGCAGGAGUAUAUUACUUGAACCCUGGAGUGUGAGGACUGAUUGAGCUAUGUGCUAUCAUCAUGCCACUGCAGUCCAGCCUGGGCCACAGAGCAUAAUCUGAAUAAAAAAUAGAACUAUAAAAAGUAAUAUAGCAUUGCUGUUUUUAAUUCACUUGUAGUAAUGCAUAGAUAGCAUAUUUAGCCAAAACGUUUUAAACUGGUAAUAUGCCAAGAGGUCAGAUGUUUGAGUCAGAUUGCUAGCUAGCUCCUCAACUGGCUAAAUCUGUAGUAUUUUGCAAAGUAUUUCUCCUAAAUGUAAUUAGUUUUUUUAUUUGUUAAAUGGAUUUACUAAUGCUACCUGCUUAGGAAACUAACUCUGAUAUUAAUUAGUUUACCUCAAAAACUUGUUCUGAAUGACAUAUAUUAGGCAAUAAAAUAUUAGCUACUACUUGAUAUUACAAAUUCUUUUCAUCUGUUUACUUUUAAAGCUCAUAGUGAGCACAAUAAAAUUCCAGAAGACCGAUGAUGGCUGUUAGAUAUAACAGAACGCUCUGAGAGUCACUAUCAGAAAUGAGCAUAUCAGUGCAUAAAAUGUAUGGUAGCUUUAUUUAGCAGCUGUUUCAUUGUUUACCAUAGCAUUUUUUCUUACAAUUUUGUAGAAGCCUGUGUCAGAAUCAAGAAGUUUUUUUUAGAAGAUGAUAAUCAUGGAUGAUUGAAAUCAUACUGAAAAUUAUUCUAAAUUCUAUUAUAUUUAUAGUUGUAUUUUCUUUCAAAGGAUAAUGGAAGUCUUAAAAAGAAAAUGGAUACUUCUCUGCCAGGGGAGAUACUGUGAUCAUGAAGGUGGCUUUCCCAGGGCAAGGCUGAUCUAUUGCAUUCUGGAUGUGCUGACUCCUACGAUUUCCCCAAGUGUGGGAAACUCAACUGCAUAAUUUGUGGAAAAUUUGAAGCCAGAUGACAAAGAUGCCUUAGAUGAGCAUAAGUCCUCUCCAACAGAAUAUGCUCCAUUAUAUCCUCAUCCAACAGGCUUUAUGUAUCAAUAGCCUGCCAACAGGACAUUGUUCAUCCACCUUGAAACGGCCAUUCAUCAACCAAGCAGGUUGUUGUUGUCAAUAGGGAGCUCUUCAAAGGGCAUUGCCCAUGUGACAGUGGGAUCCAGUAAUUCCUGAGGUGGUUCCAGACUACAUGCUAGAAAAUUCCCUACUACCUGCUCUUGAACAGGAUGAGCAACUCCUUGCACUUCCCUGGUUUGUGAUGAAGAAAUAAACAAUGCCCAGUUCCUGCCCUGGAGAAGCUCAUUGCAUAGAAAAAGGAAAAAGGCAGAUAUACAUGCCACAGUACAGUGCUGAGACAACAUAAAUCACAAGCAACCAAGUACAAAGUGAAUUAUACAGAAUCUGGUUUUCUUCUGUUUGGAUUUGAUACUGAGCUAUACUGGAUUCACUGACAAGAAGAGUUUGAAUUAGCAGCAUGCUGAGAAUGGACACAGUGUUUGAAGAGACUGAUAAAGAAAGUACAGGAGGAGUUUUAUUUUUGGAAGAAGAAAUGGUCCUUGGGCACAGACCCCAUAUGAGUUUUCCUUUCAGCGUUCUCUGCUCAGCUGUUCUCUGCUGUGGUAAUUUUGGAUCAAAUCACCCUAACGUUUUUCAACAAAGACUUUAGAAGAAAUAAAGCUGCAUUACUUUUUCUUGGCGCAUUCUUCCUUUAGGACCUAUAGUGAGGUUUUAAAUAGAGACAGAACUUGCCCUGUGGCCCACGUUGGAGUCCGCUGGCAUGAUCGUGAUCCACUGCAGCCUCAACUUCUUUGGGUUCAAAUGAACUUCCCACCUUAGCCACCUGAGCAUCUCGCCUAUCUGGACUCCACCUAUCCUCCCCUGUCAGCAUCUCACAGCAUAGGCAUGGGCCACCAGAACCAGCUUAUUUUUGUAUUUUUUUAAGCAGAAGAGAUCUUACCAUGUUGUGAAGACUGGUCUCGUACUUCUGGCUGAAGUGAUUUGUUCUCCUAAGCCUUCCAAAUUGGUGGGAUUACAUAUGUGAACCACCACACAAAGACUCCUACUGGUAUAUUUAGAAGGAUAUAAGUAUGCCGGUUUUUGGAUGCAUGCAUGGAGAAGACCCCAAAGCUUUUCACUUUUCCCUGAGUUUGGGCUAAACACUAGAGUUCCUCAAAGAGUCCAUAUCCAAAGUCUGGGCAGUUUUUCUUUUCUUUCUUUUCCUUUUUUUUUUUCUUGGAUUGUUUUUAAAAAAUAUGUCGAGAAUAGUAGACCAUCAAAAAGGUGACAGAACACAGAUUAAGUGGAUAUACAACACAAAGAAUGCAGACCACAAAAAUAGCUCUGGAGGGUUGCUACACAAGUAAACAACCCACAAACUAAGGAAUUGUGGAUGUUAAGAAUUUGUUAUCCAAAUAUGCUGAAUACUAUCCAAUAUUUCAAUUCACUUCAUUUUACUAUUCUCAAAGACCUAAGGGAACCCAGGAGUACAGUGAUUCAAAACUGAAAAUACCAGUAAAGACAUACAGAUUAUUUUAAAAAUGAAAUCAAUAACCUUGAAGUUACUAGGAAGCUGUGUGAUUGAAAGUCAGUCACUCAAUCACAUGAUCCUGGGAUUUUCCUCUACAUGUGGGACUACCCAUACCUUGCAGCAUUGCUGUGAGUUCACCUGAGCAAGACACCUGCACAUGGUGGUGCUCAGGAAAUGUUAAUUUCCCUUUAUUGAAAUGGAACAACCCAUGGGUAUUAUGUCUUGAGGUCUGGAUUACAGUUGAGCAAGAUACAGAAGACGUUGUAAACCCUGAGGAGGCAUCACUGAUCACUGGGAGUCUGGAAAGGCAGCAGAGAAAAAGUGACCUGCAGCUGGAAAUGGCCAAUGGGUCUGUUACAGGAAGUUACACAGGCAUGAGUGGGGCAGAAGAGAGUUCUCCCAUCCACCUACCAGGAAUGUCAGGCCAUCGGGUAAUGGUUGGACAGUUAUCACAUUGCUUUUCUAAAAAUAAUAAUUUAGCAGCAGAGCCAGGGAUAGACAAGUUCCUACUGAUACACAGCUGGUAACAUUAAAGUGUUAACUAAAGUCACACUCCCGGGAGGGGGAAAAAGGGCUUCUAGUAAAAUUUUACAUACUGGGUGAGUGAACUGAGACAUGCACAUUAAGAGACGAAAUGGUACAGCAUGACUUUCUGGGGUCACUCCACCAAAAAAAGGGAGGAAGCUUCAGAUGGGCAUGCAUAUAAAUGCUCAAACACACUGCCUAUGCUCACUUCUCAAGGGUAAGGAGGGCACUGUGCCUGCUGGCAGCCCACACUUAGGAAAGAAUCAUGGAAAAAGGUGCACCAGAUGCUCAAGGUGGGCCAGCCUAUAAAGUCCCAGAAUGAAGAGAAAUGGCCACACUUGUUCUUCAAGUCACCCACUUGGAUCUCUUCCAAGUGCACUUUUCAUUCUUUCCUGCUCUAAAGCUUUUUAAUAAAUGUCCACUCCUGCUGUGAAACUUGCCUCAGGAUUUUUUUUCCUUCUUUAUGCCCAUCAGUUGAACUCUUUCACCUGAGGAGGCAAGAACUGACAUUGCUAAAGACGCAGAUGGAUUUGCUGCCAGUAACUCCGAUACUUUCCACCAGUAACAGAUCUAGGAGCUGGUGGACAUAGUUGCUGAAGCAUGUGUCCAGAAUGUUUCUGCCCAGGCCACAAGCAGUCCUGCACUGUAAAGGGACUUGAACCCCAAGCUCAGGGGACACCAUGGAAAGAGACUUCAGCCCGCUGAUGGAAUACUGGAGAUAGGAAUUUUUUAUUGAGGUAUAAUUCCCAUAAUAUGUUAACUGUUUUUUAAGGUAUAAUUCAGUGACACAGGAAUGUGCAUGUUCUACCACUUCUUAAUUCCAAAUUAUUUUCAUCAUCUCAAAAGGAAAUCCCCUACCUAUUAAGGAGCUACUACCCAAUCUGUCCUCUUUCUGACUCCUGACAAUUAACAAUCUGUUUUCUUUCUCUGUGAAAUUAUUUAUUUUGGAUAUGUUUAUAAAUAAAAUCAUACAAUACGUGA